Molecule: transfer RNA, 73 nt
Filed under: Camelus bactrianus (Bactrian camel)
Lineage: Eukaryota; Metazoa; Chordata; Mammalia; Artiodactyla; Camelidae
Also listed under: 2 other names
Rfam family: tRNA
About the family: Transfer RNA (tRNA) molecules are approximately 80 nucleotides in length. Their secondary structure includes four short double-helical elements and three loops (D, anti-codon, and T loops).
Source: Rfam by way of RNAcentral
GAGGGUAUAGCUCAAGUGGUAGAGCAGAUGCUUAGCAUGCAGGAGGUCCUGGGUUCACUUCCCAGUGCCCGCU